GGGAUAAUUGUUUCUGUGCUUGAGUCACUAUAUAUUAGUAGUGAGUGGGUGAUAUUGACUAAAACUAGUGCCCUGCUGUGGAAUGUAGAUGUGAAAAAUCACUCAAAUUGCAUUAUCUUGUGGUAGUCCUGAUGAGUCUAAGGAAUACUGGAUCUGUUUGAAGGAAACGAUUCAAAGGUAUGAGUGUUAUCUGGAAUAAAUCAUGUUCUAAAGGAUGAAUAUUCUAAUUACUUUUCCCCAUACUACCAUUAACCAUGAUAAAAAUAUCUCAACAGUGAUUUUUUAAAAAAUUCUCCAGUUGCAGGUUAAACCUGUACAUGUGGCAUAAUGAAAGCUUUUCUGUGAUCUUAUCACUGAUAGUCAUGUAGCUGCAUUCAGCCCUUUUUAAAUGUCUUUCUUCUCUAAAUUAACUUCUUUCUAGUGGCUACCAUUUUAAAAAACUGUUUGAAAGUUCAAGAAAGCAACUUUUGAAACACAGAGGAAAUUAAGGUUCACUUAUUCAGGGGGAUCGAACUUGGGUCCUUGCGCUUGCACAGCAGGCAGCGAAACCACUGAGGAAGUCUCCAUUAUACUCCACACAUGGAAAAGAGAAGUAGAAGUUGCAUGUGAUCACCUUUGCCAACCAUCUUGCUGAAUAGUAUUCAUUGUCUGAAUGUACUGUAGUUCAUCCAUUCACCUACUGAGAGA
This 687-nucleotide long non-coding RNA is filed under the name Heterocephalus glaber (naked mole-rat). Its description in RNAcentral is "lncRNA (ENSHGLG00100034424.1)". The record is from RNAcentral. Lineage: Eukaryota; Metazoa; Chordata; Mammalia; Rodentia; Bathyergidae.